RNAcentral lists this long non-coding RNA (1658 nucleotides) under Salmo salar (Atlantic salmon). RNAcentral's name for it is "lncRNA (ENSSSAG00000112095.1)". The record is from RNAcentral. Lineage: Eukaryota; Metazoa; Chordata; Actinopteri; Salmoniformes; Salmonidae.
GUUUUAGUUGGAAAGUUGUGUUUGCGCGCUCCAUGAAGACAUUACGCACCUAUUGAACAUACUUCUUUUGGAAAGAAGUAUUAUAGUUUGAUUACAUUUUAGGGUAUCUGAGGAGUAAAUAGAAACAUAUUUUGACUUGUUGAAACAAAGUUUAGGGGUAGAUUUUCAGAUUCCUUUCUCUGCAAGUUGAAUGAGUGGAUUACUCAAAUCGAUGGCACCAACUAAAUGGACUUUUUGGGAUAUAAAGAAGGAUUUUAUCUAACAAAACGACACUACAUGUUAUAGCUUGGACCCUUUGGAUGACAAAUCAGAGGAAGAUUUUCAAAAGCCUCUCUUGUGAAGCUCUUGAAAGAGAAGCACUUCAAUGAAUGUAGUCUGACAGAGACAGGGCUUGACACCAUAUGUCUUCAAAAGGCAGCAGCAGCGGGAAUUUCACGGCAAGGUGGCUUUGUCAGUGAAGGUCGGCCGUGGCGAUCUGGCCUUGGCUGGGCUUCCGUACGAUGGGAAUGAAAACACUCCGUGGCAGUCUGUGCAAAGUGGCAUGGGAAAGCAGAGGACUUGAGCCCUAGGACCAUGCCUCAGGACUACCUGGCUUGAUGACUCCUUGCUGUCCCCAGUUCACCUGGCCGUGCUGCUGCUCCAGUUCCAACUGUUCUGCCUGCAGCUAUGGAACCCUGACCUGUUCGCCGGACGUGCUACCUGUCCCAGACCUGUUGUCCCAGACCUGCUGGAACCCUGACCUAUUCACCGGACGUGCUACCUGUCCCAGACCUGCUGUUUUCAACUCUCUAGAGACAGCAGGAGCGGUAGAGAUACUCUCAAAGAUCGGCUAUGAAAAAGCCAACUGACACUUACUCUUGUGUUACUGACUUGUUGCACCCUCGACAACUACUAUGAUUAUUAUUAUUUGACAAUGCUGGUCAUUUAUGAACAUUUGAACAUCUAGGCUAUGUGCUGUUAUAAUCUCCACCCGGCACAGCCAGAAGAGGACUGGCCACCCCUCAUAGCCUGGUUCCUCUCUAGGUUUCUUCCUAGGUUUUGGCCUUUCUAGGGAGUUUUUCCUAGCCACCGUGCUUCUACACCUGCAUUGCUUGCUGUUUGGGGUUUUAGGCUGGGUUUCUGUACAGCACUUUGUGAUAUCAGCUGAUGUAAGAAGGGCUAUAUAAAUACAUUUGAUUUGAUUUGAUUUGAAUACAUGUUAGAAUCACUUUGUAACGAUCGUCUGGAAGAGGGGACCAAGAUGCAGCGUGGUAAGUGGUCAUAAUGAUUUUUAAUGAUACACUUCAAAAAAUAAACUGGGAAAAUGAAAGCCAACAGUUCUGUCGGUGCAAACCACACAACAGAAACAAUCACCCACAAAACCCAAAGGAAAAAUAGGCUACUUAUGUGUGACUCCCAAUCAGCAACAAUGAACUUCAGCUGUGCCUGAUUGGGAGCCACACACGGCCCAAAACAAAGAAAUACAAAAACAUAGAAAAUAUAACACCCUGGCCUAACCAAAAAUAAAGAACAAAAACCCCUCUCUAUGGCCAGCGCAUUACAGUACCCCCCCACCAAAGGUGCGGACUCUGGCCGCAAAACCUGACUCUGAAGGGGAGGUUCCGGGUGGGCCUUCUUACGGCGGCGGCUCAGGUGCAGGACGUGGCCUCCACUCCACC